AUCAAGUUUGGACCCAGUCUCUGGUGAAGUGCUGCUGUGAAAGGGUGGCUUUGAUGAACGUCGUAAUUUACAGUUUUUUGGAGAAUACUUCUCUUCCUUUUCUUUGUCAAUUUUAUGCUUUAUUUUCUUUCGAUGCUUAAUUUUUGGUACAUUUUUAUCAGCUGGUCUCACUAUCUUGUCUGCCUUUAUCCAUUCAUCAUACCCUGAUUUGUCUUUUUCGUCAGCCUCUGCAUUUAUGGUAGGAUUUUCCAUUUCUUUAAUCUUUUCCUCUUCUUUAUCUUCUAAUUUGGUUUCAUCUUCAGCUUUGAUUACAUUCAAGUCCUUUUCUUGGUCAGGCUGCGUAUACACUGAAUCUGGCAAAUUUUUUUUGUUUCCCAGAAGAGCGGGCUUAUCAUUUUCUUUACUUUCAUUAUCAUUCUCAGCUAGCUUUUUUUCUUCUUGUUGUACUGCUGCUACUUCCUCCUGCUUGCGCUCCUCUUUAUCCACUUUUACUUCUUUUACGUCCUGCUCUGGAUCUUCACGCAUCUUUAAAUCUUUUUCUUUUUCACAGUCUUUACAAGGCUUGCUUGUCACCUUCUCUGGUAACGCCAUUUGAAACUCGAUAUUUGCUGAUGUACAGUACUCUUCAAAGCCAUAGAGAUAUUUUUUGUAUGCACAUUUAACAUUAUAUCCCGCAGCUGAAUUCAAUACAGGGAUUCCAAGAUCUUGAUAAACUUGCUUCCACACUGCUCCACUUUCAAUAUUAUCAAAUCCUCCAAGCUUAUGUACAAGUCUGAAUAAUUUGAACAGAUUCAAAUUUCUAUAUCCUAGUACAGGUCGUUUGUUAAUAGGAGUCCCUCUGUCUUCCAUGAACUUGUAUAAUUGCUGAAGAAAGUUCUCCCUUUCUUCAGGAAAAGGCUCUAUUUCCUCCUCUUCUUCACUGCUGUUAUCCUCUUUUUCUUUUUCAUCUUCC
RNAcentral lists this long non-coding RNA (952 nucleotides) under Gallus gallus (chicken). The record is from RNAcentral. Lineage: Eukaryota; Metazoa; Chordata; Aves; Galliformes; Phasianidae.